GAAGUCAUGAAGUCUAACCCCCUUAUUAUACAGAUAAACAACAUGAGGACAUAGAGGUAGAGUGGUUUACCUAAGAUCUAGCCCAUAUCAAACAGCACUCAGAAUGUCAAAGGCAGGUCACCAAGGGACUAGACCCUCCCUCUGAAGAACAGUAUAUUUCUUUCUUGUAGACAACAUAUGGUAGGAUUUUCUAUCCUAAUCCACUCUCCUAUUCAUCUACGUUUUAUGGGCUAUGUCCAUUCCUUGAAACGUUCUCUAUCUUCACCACUGCCGACUGGUCUCCCCACCUUCCUCAAGGACUGCACAAAUCCCACUUUCUUCAGUAAGCUUCUAUUGAUCCUCUUCCUUAUCACUUCUUCCCUCUGAGAUUACCCCCAAAGUAUACCCCCCAUAUCUCUGAUAGGCAUACAGUUGUUUGAAUGUUAUGUCCCCCAUCAGAACAAGAGAGCCUUGAGAGCAGGGACAGCAUUUUUGCUUUUCUUUGAUUUUCUACCAUUUUUAACAUAAUAAGCCCUUAAUAAGUUUGUUGACUGACAAACAAAUGCCCACAGUAAAGGUCAGAGUAGAGACCAAAAUCUAGCUCCUUUGAUUUCAGGUCCACUGCUUUUUCCAGUUCUGUUAGUAAAUUGUUUUAUGAGAUAUGCCCAGAUACCCCAGUAGACACUAGACCCCAAUCACCAACCACUGGUCUCACCAAGUAACAAGAUGCCAGUCUUGGAUAAGCCAAUUACCUAAAAUCUCCAUCAUGAGGUUUAAUUCAG
RNAcentral lists this long non-coding RNA (761 nucleotides) under Monodelphis domestica (gray short-tailed opossum). RNAcentral's name for it is "lncRNA (ENSMODG00000043650.1)". The record is from RNAcentral. Lineage: Eukaryota; Metazoa; Chordata; Mammalia; Didelphimorphia; Didelphidae.